RNAcentral lists this unclassified non-coding RNA (224 nucleotides) under plant metagenome. RNAcentral describes it as "partial contains small subunit ribosomal RNA and internal transcribed spacer 1". The stretch from base 1 to 47 matches the Rfam family "Eukaryotic small subunit ribosomal RNA", at positions 1785 to 1831 of the family's 1831-position model. The record is from RNAcentral.
AAAGUCGUAACAAGGUUUCCGUAGGUGAACCUGCGGAAGGAUCAUUAAUAACGCCCCGUUUUUGUCGCAAGAUUUAAACGGGUUCAAUACCCCAAACCGUGUCUAUCUACCAUUGUUGCUUUGGCAGGCCGCCUUCGGGCGUCGGCUCCGGCUGAUCAGCGCCUGCCAGAGGCUCAAAAACUCUGUGUUUAGUGAUGUCUGAGUACUAUAAAAACUUUUUAAAA